Non-coding RNA from Photobacterium gaetbulicola Gung47, 101 nucleotides. NCBI's taxonomy places the organism in Bacteria, Pseudomonadati, Pseudomonadota, Gammaproteobacteria, Vibrionales, Vibrionaceae. The record is from Rfam.
CCUUUGGGGAGUAGCCUCUUGUCCUGGCAAGACAAACGUCAACAUAAUUGAAGCAAAAUCUUCAUGGCGUUUGUGACUCACGUUUAUCCUACUAGUGAGUU